UACGUAGGGUGCGAGCGUUGUCCGGAUUUAUUGGGCGUAAAGAGCUCGUAGGCGGCUUGUCGCGUCUGCCGUGAAAUUUCGAGGCUCAACCUCGAACUUGCGGUGGGUACGGGCAGACUAGAGUGUGGUAGGGGAGACUGGAAUUCCUGGUGUAGCGGUGAAAUGCGCAGAUAUCAGGAGGAACACCGAUGGCGAAGGCAGGUCUCUGGGCCACUACUGACGCUGAGAAGCGAAAGCAUGGGGAGCGAACAGG
Molecule: ribosomal RNA, 253 nt
Filed under: uncultured bacterium
Lineage: Bacteria
Description: partial 16S ribosomal RNA
Rfam family: Bacterial small subunit ribosomal RNA
Source: RNAcentral